CCCUUAGAUGUCCUGGGCGGCCCGCGCGCUACAAUGUCAGCUACUGAAGGUUAAUGCUUUGAAAGAGAGCGCGCUCUCCUUUUAAUUGCUCGCAUGCUGGGAUAAAUGAAUGCAAUUUUGUUUUGAACGAGGAAUUCCUAGUAGCCAUGUUUCACUAGAAGAUGGCGAAUGCGUCCCUGCCCUUUGUACACACCGCCCGUCGCUCCUACCGAUUGGAUGAUCCGGUGAGCUAUUCGGACUUUCGCAUUGUCGAUUUUCGGCUUUACGAGGGAAAGUCUCGCGAACCUUAUCAUCUAGAGGAAGGAGAAGUCGUAACA
This 317-nucleotide ribosomal RNA is filed under the name uncultured eukaryote. RNAcentral's name for it is "partial 18S ribosomal RNA". It matches the Rfam family "Eukaryotic small subunit ribosomal RNA", at positions 1470 to 1796 of the family's 1831-position model. The record is from RNAcentral.